Molecule: long non-coding RNA, 989 nt
Organism: Hyaena hyaena (striped hyena)
Lineage: Eukaryota; Metazoa; Chordata; Mammalia; Carnivora; Hyaenidae
Exons: 5
Source: RefSeq, a predicted model, not a curated record
AUAGAUAAAAAAGUGAGUUGACCGUCAUUCAUCCCCUCGUGGGGGGCGGCGGCUGAAAGUCGGGCGGCUUCCUAAGCGCAGUGGUGCGAUCGCUGCUACUCAGCCGGGGGCCCGGCGGGGCCCGGCGUUCCCAGACCCGGUCCCCGGCCGCCGCGGACCACAGCGGCUGGGGCUUCAUACGCUGCCACCGCGGGGACCUUAGUUUCAACACUCGAGGGAUUUGCUGGAGACUGAGCGCCUGGGAGGGCGUCCUGGGGCCUCAGCUCCUGGAUGGCCCUGCAUUGUGCGGUGGUCCUGCGUUGGACGGCCGGAGGGGGUCGCCCACGAGCAGAGGAAGGAAGGGGACCGCCAGCCUGUGAACGUGGCCUGAGGAACUGACCGUCCCUGUCGGUACUGAGGUUGAGGAGAGGCUGCACGAGGUGGAGAGCCCAGGUGGACCCCGGCCGGGCCACAUCCACGGAAAUCCAGGCCGUCUGCUCAGGGUGAGAGACUCCCUGAUUUUAAGUAGAGAAUGUGACCAGGUUUUGCAUUUGUUUUCUAACGCGUGUUGGUGUGUUGAAAAGCAGUCCCGUGGGAGUAUCGGCAGGAGUGUUAAAAGUUAAUAGAGCCCGUUCUGCCUCCAAAAAAUCCAGGGAAACUAAAGGUGAUUGAAAGCGUAGACCAAGGGGUCAAGAUAAAUUGGGGGGCUGGGCCUCUGUUUUGAUGCAGUGACUGCAGAGCAGCUUGGGCUCUGCCUUCAGAAGAGUCCUGACAGGGACAUCCCCCUACAUGUGGAGAAAAGUCUGGACGGGGGUAAAAAGUUGUUUAAGCGUUAGGUAGAAUGAGUGUUAAAAAUUAAUGCUAAAAGCAUGGGUAUAACAGCUGGGUUUGUUUUUUGUUUUUUAACACUUUUAAGCAAGCAGCAUUUAAGCCGAAAGAGUUAAUACUUUCUUCCCCAAUAAAAGUGUUUUUCUGUUGGCAAAACUUAAAUAAAUUCGUCUUGAAGAAAC